RNAcentral lists this long non-coding RNA (453 nucleotides) under Homo sapiens (human). Its description in RNAcentral is "HSALNT0018223". Lineage: Eukaryota; Metazoa; Chordata; Mammalia; Primates; Hominidae. The record is from RNAcentral.
GGGUUCCCGCCUCAGGCCCCAGGAGGCGAGGUGUACAGUCCGGUAAAGGAAUGGAGCGCCCGCCGAGCGGUCGCUGCGGGGGUAGCCUCGCGGAGGUUGUUUGGCCUCUCACGGCCCCCGUAUCCAACGGAAGAGGAGUCCGUUGGAAUAGACGACCCGGAUUUCGGCUGUUGUAGGGCAGUUCCUGGGCUCCCGCGGAGCGAUGAGACGUUGUGAAUUAGAGGGUCCCAGGAACUCACAGUAUGCUCUAAAAAGGAGAGGGGCAAGAGCUCUGAGUGAGUACAUCCCGUUGGCCCGUGGGAUUUCUUGCCCUAUGGAAAGGAACAUGGACGGAAGAGAAUCAGGUGCUCAGAGCCCUAGACUGGGGCUCCUCUUGCCCCAGUCUUGAGGCAGUUCUAAAGAGGUAACAUUUGAGCCAAAGACCUAAAUGAAGUAUGGGAGGAAGCCCUGUGG